AAGGGAGACCUAAUUCCAGUAGGAGACGAAAAAAAAGUAGUCCCUACCAAGAAUCAAUCCCAAAAGGUCGGAGCGAGGCAAAAUUGGCUUUCAAACUAGGUUCUGGGUUCACACAAGACCUGAAUCAGGAACAAGGGCUAUUAGCUCAGGUGGUUAGAGCGCACCUCUGAUAAGGGUGAGGUCCCUGGUUCGAGUCCAGGAUGGCCCACCUGCACAGGUGGAAGAAAGAAAAGAAGCUCCGAAUCAGCACCUUAUCUUACUUAUAUAGUAAGAGAGAAUGCUGGCUCUGAGUACAGAGUCCAGAGGAACCUUGAAAACUGCAUAGAGCUAGGUGAAAAAGCCAAAAAAGAAGACCGCAAGGUCAAGCUAAUAAGGGCUAACGGUGGAUACCUAGGCAC
Molecule: transfer RNA, 398 nt
Filed under: uncultured Microcystis sp.
Lineage: Bacteria; Bacillati; Cyanobacteriota; Cyanophyceae; Chroococcales; Microcystaceae
Description: bacterial LSU rRNA
Rfam family: tRNA (bases 135-208)
Source: RNAcentral